UAUUAGAUUGGUGCAAAAGUAAUUGCAGUUUUUGCAAUUACUUUUAAUGAAAAACACCACAAUUACUUUUGCACCAACUUACAUAUU
Molecule: microRNA precursor, 87 nt
Filed under: Nomascus leucogenys (northern white-cheeked gibbon)
Lineage: Eukaryota; Metazoa; Chordata; Mammalia; Primates; Hylobatidae
Description: miRNA (ENSNLEG00000035260.1)
Source: RNAcentral